GCAAGGAAUUCAAAGCAUUGUCAGUAAUUGAAGACGAAAGACGGACAAAGUUUACUUCAAUGCAGAAAGCAACUGCACUGAGGGAACUUUACACAGCAACCAUUUCAGAGUUGAACUCUUGAUGUUAUACAAACCCUGGUGGAUUUGGUAAUUGGACCUGAAAGGAGCAAGAGGCUGGAGCAACCUUUUGUGGAUCCAGCUGAGGUCAGGUAUGUACCUUAAACUAUCCUUAGCAUUCCCUUGAGUGUAACAUUUGAGCCCAAAGUACAAUCCAGUAAUUGAAUUGGUUCAUGGCCAGUCACUUACUUGAUGGUAAAAUCAAAGUCUUCCCAUCCAAGUCCUAGAACAAGCUGGACCUUAAAUAGCUUAUGACUCCAG
This 378-nucleotide long non-coding RNA is filed under the name Anolis carolinensis (green anole). Its description in RNAcentral is "lncRNA (ENSACAG00000041814.1)". The record is from RNAcentral. Lineage: Eukaryota; Metazoa; Chordata; Lepidosauria; Squamata; Anolidae.